Molecule: transfer RNA, 95 nt
Filed under: Pneumocystis wakefieldiae
Lineage: Eukaryota; Fungi; Ascomycota; Pneumocystomycetes; Pneumocystales; Pneumocystaceae
Also listed under: 1 other name
Rfam family: tRNA
About the family: Transfer RNA (tRNA) molecules are approximately 80 nucleotides in length. Their secondary structure includes four short double-helical elements and three loops (D, anti-codon, and T loops).
Source: Rfam by way of RNAcentral
GGUACUAUGGCCGAGUUGGUCUAAGGCGUGGGACUCAAGUUCAUGGAGUUUAUCUCAUCUCGAAAGAGGCCUGGGUUCGAAUCCCAGUGGUACCA